Molecule: long non-coding RNA, 1026 nt
Filed under: Marmota monax (woodchuck)
Lineage: Eukaryota; Metazoa; Chordata; Mammalia; Rodentia; Sciuridae
Source: RNAcentral
AAAAUACAAGUCCAAGGCCAGAAAUGUAGCUCAGUGGUAGUGUGCUUGCCUAGUUUGUAUGAUGUCCUGGGUUCUAUCCCUGGCACUGUAAAAAUACAAAAACAUAAGUGAACUUUGUGACUCUGGGAAAAGUCCUCUAAUUAGCAGAGUUUUCACUAAUAAUAUGCAUAUAAAAUCUUGUUGGAUGAUUAUAAGAAAUAAAGAUAAAAGAAAACAGCCUGUAUUCUUUGAUUGCCAUUCUGACAGGAGUGAAAUGAAAACUUAGAGUAGUUUUGAUUUGCAUUUCUUUAGUUACAAGAGGUGUUGAACAAUUUUUUAUAUAUUAGUUGAUCAGUUGUAUUUCUUCUGUGAAUUGUCUGUUCUAUUCGUUAACCCAAUCUGUAGGCUCUCUCCUCAGGUUAUUAAUUGUUUCCUUUGCUGAGAAGAAGCUUUUAAAUUUGAGUCCAUCCCAUUUAUUGAUUCUUGAUUUUACUUCUUGCACUUUAGGAGUCUUGUUAAGGAAGUCAGAUCCUAGGCCGACAUGGUAAAGAUUUGAGCCUAUUUUUUUUUCCAUUAGGCACAGGGUCUCUGUUCUAGUGCCUAAGUCUUUGAUCCACUUUGAAUUGAUUUUUGUGCAGGGUGAGAAAUAGAGGUUUAAUUUCAUUUUGUUACAUAUGGAUUUCCAAUUUUCCCAGCACCAUUUUUUGAAUAGGCUAUCUUUUCUCCAGUGAAUGUUUUUGGUGUCUUUGUCUAGUAAGAGAUAACUUUAUUUUUGUGGGUUUGUCUCUGUUUUCUAUUCUGUACCAUUGGUCUGUGUGUCUGUUUCAGUGCCAAUACCAUGCUGUUUUUGUUACUAUGGCUCUGUAGUAUAAUUUAAAGUCUGGUAUUGUGAUGCUUCCUGCUUCACUCAUUUUGCUAAGGAUUGCUUUGGCUAUUCUGGAUCUCUUAUUUUUCCAAAUGAAUUUAAUGAUUGCUUUUUCUUUUUCUAUGAAGAAUGACAUUGAGAUUUUAAUAGGAAUUGUGUUAAAUCUGUAUAAUGCUUUUGGU